This 470-nucleotide ribosomal RNA is filed under the name uncultured bacterium. Its description in RNAcentral is "bacterial SSU rRNA". It matches the Rfam family "Bacterial small subunit ribosomal RNA", at positions 27 to 518 of the family's 1533-position model. The record is from RNAcentral.
GGACGAACGCUGGCGGCGUGCUUCAUACAUGCAAGUCGAACGAGAAUCUGGCUUCGGUCAGAGGAAAGUGGCGGACGGGUGAGUAAUGUGUAGAGAAUCUGCCCUUUAGCGGGGGACAACAGUUGGAAACGACUGCUAAUACCCCAUAUGCGCGUAGCUGAGAUGCUAUUCGUGAAAACUCCGGUGCUAAAGGAUGAGUCUGCAUCUGAUUAGCUAGUUGGGGGUGUAAUGGACCACCAAGGCGACGAUCAGUAGCUGGUUUGAGAGGAUGAUCAGCCACAAUGGGACUGAGACACGGCCCAUACUCCUACGGGAGGCAGCAGUAGGGAAUUUUGCGCAAUGGGGGAAACCCUGACGCAGCAACGCCGCGUGAUUGAAUAAGCCCUUCGGGGUGUAAAGAUCUGUCAGUGGGGACGAAACUUGACGGUACCCACAGAGGAAGCAUCGGCUAACUCCGUGCCAGCCGCAGC